UGCAGACUUCCUUUUGCAGGUGCACGCUUUCCGACGAUCGGACGACGAGGCGAUUGGCCGCAACAGAAUAAAUCAAAAGCUUUUAUUCUUUUGGAAGAAAUAAGUAAAAAAACUUUACCAAUGCAUGCAUGAGCAUUUUUUUCCAUCCAUGAGUCAGAAAAACGUAGAUUGUUCCCAUGUGUUAGAGAAGAAGCAAGUAGGAGUGCCAAUUAUAGCCUACUCAAUGGAUAUCAAAUCUAAUUGAUAU
RNAcentral lists this long non-coding RNA (247 nucleotides) under Elaeis guineensis (African oil palm). RNAcentral's name for it is "long non-coding RNA (EGUI_LNC028707)". Lineage: Eukaryota; Viridiplantae; Streptophyta; Magnoliopsida; Arecales; Arecaceae. The record is from RNAcentral.